AUAAAAGUUGUAUUCCAUCCUGUGGGCAGAGAGCAAUGUAGCCCUUGGGAGGUGCCAGAAUGAAGGCCACUGGUGAUGAUGAGGAAGGUGUUGUUCUUACACAACCCUCUUCACCAUCAUAUCUGAGUGUCCUGCCACAGUGCUUUAUGCAACAUGACUAGUCUCAGUCUUGUGUGGUUCUGCAGGCACCUGAAUGAGGACGGCAGGAUCAGUUCCAUCAUCAAUGUAAUUUAACACAAUCAUUUCAAAUCUUCAUCUUCUGAGAUCUUUCAUCAACCAGGGGUCCUACAGUCUUGGAGCAUCUAUGGAGUCGGCCCCUUAUGACCCUAGCCACUGGACCAUCUUCCAAGCCAACAUGACCCCACUCUCAGUUUCACUGGCUUUAACAUCCAGCACUUGGCUUGAGCCCAUUUCAACACAGCAGCAUAACAUGGGACACAUAAGUGCCAUGUGAGAAGUGUCAAGCAGCAUAAGCAGCACAGAGGAACCUGAUUCUGCAUUAACAAGAGGGCUACUGCUUGGCCAAGUUACUGCUGCCUAGUAGCAAGAAUACAGGCAGAGAAGGGAGCAGUUUAUGUGCAUGCUGGGGAUCACACUUAGAGUGUCUCUGAGCAGAGAUGAAUGUUUCUCAUUUCAUUCCCCACCUGGCUUUUACCUGGCAUUCUUGC
Non-coding RNA from Pelodiscus sinensis (Chinese soft-shelled turtle), 668 nucleotides. Lineage: Eukaryota; Metazoa; Chordata; Testudines; Trionychidae. The record is from RefSeq and is a predicted model, not a curated record.